CUAAGAAAUGGAUCCAGCCUAGACGUCCAGCAGGCGAAUGAGUAAGGGAAACAUGGAACUGUUGUGGAGACAAAAGCGAGGAAAAGAAAGGGUUAGCCCUGAGAGUUUCUGUCUCCACUCCCACUGCAGUAAGGGAACCUCGUAUGAACACACACAGGAUAGUGGACAUCUCCAAGUCAGAUACUGGGUCCCCACUGGCAACCCAAUCUGCCUCCUUGAUCUUUGACCUCUCAGCCUCCGAAAUGGGCCUCACCACAUCAUCAGCUACAGUCUGACUGCUCUGUGUUGCCUGUGAGAGGGAGCCCUGGGGUUGCUGCUGACCUGCAUCAGUGGAUGGAUGUGUUUGUUUUACUGUUGCUGAGAUGCGUUGGAAGCUGGCCACAUUUAAAAAGAAUCCUCAGCUGGGCCCCUCUGCUGAGCAGACUCCUGUUGUGCUACUGUUGUUACACAUCUUACCUCAGCACAGACUGCAUCCUGGGAAGGCACAGUUGUGUUGGUGCCUCCAGCCAUCAAUUAGCCUGUAAAGACGUGUGAUCAACAACAGCAAACACAGGUGAAGAAAACUCCACUGUGUCUACCAUCCCAUUCCGGUCCAUUCAUCUGCUGCUGGGCAUCUAGGACAGUUCCCAUCUUUGAUACUUUAACCUUCGUUUCCAAUUACAGAACUCUAGGUCAACUUUCUUGCUCAGUAGCACUUAAACAUAUCCUUCCAUUGAUUUCUGGCUUGCCCUGUGUCUUAUGACAAGUCAACAGUAAUCAUCACAGUAAUGUUUGAUUUUCAACAUUUUAAUCACAAUGUGCCCUGACAUGACUGUCAUUAUAACUUAUGUUGCUUGAAAUUUUCUACAAUUCCUGAAUCUAUGGGUUGAAAUGCUUCUACAAUUUUGAAAUUUUUAGUCAUUACAUUUUUCUAUCUAUUCCUCCUUGUCUGUGACUCAAAUUAUAUUUGUUCAUUCACUUUUCUAAGGUGACAGUGAAAGUAUUUUUCCACCAUCUUUUAGUCCAUCCUCUGCCUCUUGCAUAUCUAACUCAUCUUUGUAAUGUCUUUAUUAGGCUGACUCUGUGCUUGCUUGUAUGCAAAUCAGAACUCUGGCAACUUCAGAAAGGUUUUUAUACAGCAGAAAGCCUGCAGAUAGUAACAUUUAACUCACGAGGAGGCAAAGAGGGGUUUGGAGCGUGUUAUCAUUUAGGUUUUAAAACCCAGCUAAUAUAGUUUGUAUACAACAUGCUCUUGUUUCUCCCGUCUCUGUGCUUUUGCCCCUGAGUACCUUGUCCCUCGUAGUUCAAGUGUUCUCAGAAGCCUGUCUCUUUCCCAGGCAAGACCAAGGAAUUCUUACUUGAACUCUCUAGCUUCUGCAAAGCUUUGGACUCCUUCACUAAAUCAGGGCAUCCUCUUGUCAAAUGCACACCAGGGUGGUUACAGUCAAUAAAAACAACUUUAGGAAUGACUCCAGUGAAACUCUACUCUCAACCAUACCUGCACUACCACACCAGGAAUCAGUCAACCCGUCAUUCCACAGGCGCACAGAAUGGCAACCUUUUAAGGACUCUGAUAACACUCCCAGUCAAGAACUGAUCGGCAAGACUCACCCUUCCAAGUCUGUACAAGUGCGAUUGAACGACAGAGAAGAAAGUACUCCAACAGCCAUCGAAUUCAACCUCCUGGUUUGAGCUUUAGUCAAAUGAAGGUUAUAAAGGCUGAUACUACCCCUACAUUCCCCCACAGCCUCAGUACAUAAGAGUCAUACCCUUGUUCCCCCAGAGCAUGUUCAUAAGGCUUCACUAAGCAAGAAAGAGGCCCACCUCAGACUGUAGACAUGACUCAUUGGGUAAAGAUACUAAUGGUGCAAGGCUGAAGGUCUCAGUUCAAUUUCACAAACUCAUGUAAAUCCCAGACAGAGUGACAUGAGCCUAUAAUCCCAGCAGUCCUAUGGGAGGCAGUGCCGAUUGGAGGCAGACAGGAGAGUGAAAGCUCACAGGCCAUCUAAUGGGUAGUCAUGGAGCAGCAGCAGAAACAAGACAGACCCCGCGUCUGCAAGGUAAAAAAAAGUUGUCUGCUGACCUCCUCUGCAUGUGCUGGCUGGCAUACAAUGUGUGUGUGUGUGUGUGUGUGUGUGUGUGAGAGAGAGAGAGAGAGAGAGAGAGAGAGAGAGAGAGAGAGAGCUCUAACAUCUGAGCUAUCUCAUUGGUCCUAAUUGAAAGCAUAAAGUUCUAUAGUUAUAACUAAGUAAUAAUUGAAAAAAGACCCACUUCCGGUUUCCUUGAUUCAUAAGAGCUGUCUCCAUGUAAAAAGCCCUGUGAGCCACAGAGCACUAUAGGAGAGCAGAAGAGAACGAGAAAUGACUAACAGGAUCUUAUCUGUUUUGUCUCAAUUAUAUCUAUACAUUGCACUUGUUAAUGCGCAGUAUAUUGCUUUAAAAGCCUGUUUUAAUUAAAUAUUCCUUUUAUGUUAUAAUGGAUGCAUGAAUUUUAUUUAAAAGUAUCCAUUUCACUGUCGGUCUCAACAGCUGACUAAGCAGGGCAUGGAGAACUGCCUUGAUUACAUUUUAGCUUCUUUUCCCUGCCUGGUCUUCUAGAUGCCUGACUCACAGGCUGGAAAGCUGACUCUCACACACCAUUUCUCUACAAGAUGAGUUCAUGUGGAUCCUGCAAUUAUCAACUCAGCACACCACCCAUUUUCUUGCAUUUGUAAAUAAGCAAUCAUCACUCGAAUACAAAUGUUUGCUACUUGA
Mesocricetus auratus (golden hamster) is the source of this 2732-nucleotide long non-coding RNA. RefSeq lists it as uncharacterized. The transcript has 4 exons. The record is from RefSeq and is a predicted model, not a curated record. NCBI's taxonomy places the organism in Eukaryota, Metazoa, Chordata, Mammalia, Rodentia, Cricetidae.